Molecule: long non-coding RNA, 1943 nt
Filed under: Theobroma cacao (cacao)
Lineage: Eukaryota; Viridiplantae; Streptophyta; Magnoliopsida; Malvales; Malvaceae
Description: long non-coding RNA (TCAC_LNC001730)
Source: RNAcentral
UUCUUCUUCUUCUUCCAUCUCACGUUGCUUCUAACCUCCAUGGAAGCUUGAUAUGGAGCUUGCAUAAUUUUCUCUCUUUUGCUUUAGUUUUCAUAUCUUUGAGCCCUUUUGACUAGAACCCUUAUAUUCUUUCACUCUCUCUCCUUAAAACCUUUGAAAAAUCUUAUUUCCAUACUUUCUCUCACUAGUUGGGCAUUCUAGAGAGAGAAAGAGAUAAUUACCCCAUUUGUGUGGAAGCUAUUGGAAGAGAAUUCAACUACAAAGGAACCUUAAGGUGAGUGAUGAACUAAGCUUGAUUUUUAGCUGUGAAUAAUGGCUAGUAAUUGGGAUUAUGAGUUGUUUUGUUGUUGAGUAUGUUCAUUCAUUUUAUAGUAAUUAGGAUAGUGAACAUAGAUAGCCAUUUAAAGUGACAAUUGAAAGCUAGUUGAGAGAUAGCUUUUAGGGUUUAUAGUAUGUGAAUUAACAUAAUGGUGAUGUUAAUGUGAUUGUAGGUUUCAAGGAAGCCCCAUCAUCCCAUUUGGACAAUUAGGGGAAUUGGAGUUAUCUAAAGGCUCAACAAUAUACCGGUGAGUGGACUGCCUAUCAAAAUAGUUUUGGGAAUAUGAUCGUUUUGUACAAAGUAUUUGAAUGGUUCUAUACAACUUUUGUUAAAACAAGUGCCUUGGGAACAAGCCUUUGAUAAAUCAAUUUUAUGUUAUGACAUGUGGUUAUCAUGGAUCUCUAUGCUACAACAUUAUGUUUAUAUACAUAUAUGAUUGAAUAUAGUGUUGUGUAAUUAUAUUGACUUGACUAUGUGCGAGUAAGGAGUUUGCAUAAGUCGAGGAUGACCCGAUUAUGUGCGAGUAGGGAGUGCACUAACCCGGUGAUGACCCAGCCAUGUGCGAGUAGGGAGUGCGCAUGAGCUGGUGAUGAUGGUGAUGUGAUGGUGUGCAUGAUGAUGAUGGGUAUACGUAUGCAUAUAUACAUAUGUAAAUAUGUGUGUUAUAGGAAAUUAAUGAGUAAGGGUAUAUAAUUGUAAUGCAUGUUAAACUUUGGAAAAUUGUUAUGUGUUUCAUGUUUGUUUGGACAUUUCAGCAGGGUGGUUUUUCUAUGGGAAGAAGGGUAAAUUUUUCAUUGAUGCCCUAUUUCUUGCUGUAAUAAUAAUCAUUUUCGCUACAGCGAGAAACUCUCAAGUUUGGAGAGGUAGACUGGUUGAAAACACGCUACAGCGAGAAACUUUCUGUUUCUAGAUCACAAUUUCGCUACAGUGAGAUUCAAUCUCACUAUAGUGAAAAACUUUCUGUUUUGGUCUCUUAUCUUGUCCAAUUGUUACCCUAUUUUUCACUUCUUUGCUACCAUAUCUAAGCAUGGACUUCCAACAUUAAGGACUAAAUAAGUUAAGUUUAAAAUGAGGAGGUUUAGUGAGAAACCCUUAGCCAGUUGAGAAACCCUCGUUCGGCUAAUAACUUAAUCCCAAUGUCGCUACAGCGAAGAUUCAUUGUUGUAUUUGACUUGCUUGCGUAUCAUUGAAGCUUUCAUUUUUCAAAUGGUUCGUUAUGUAUGGGUUCAUGAUUUUCAAAUGAUUAAUCAUUUAAGGGCUUGAUGAGGGGUUUUUAAUAUGAAUGGAACUAAAUUGCAUUAUUUUGAAACAAGUGCAUCAUAAUUUUAAAUUCUCCCUUGUUGUUGCUUGUUCCCUUCUUUGUUCACUCACUGGGUUUAUACUCACCGUUUUCAACUUCAUGCUUUCAGAUCACGAGGCAGUCGGUAACUAGGACGAGGUGUCCUCAUAGACUUGUAUCCAUCUUUUGGUAGCUGUCUCGGCAUUCAGUAGCUAUAUAUUCAUCUGAGUCCCUCCGCUGGAAGUCAAGUAUUCUUUUAUUGUGUAUAGACAAACCUAAUGUAAAUUAUUAAGAUACAUGUUGUAGAUAAUCUAUAUACACUUGUUUGGUAUGCAAAUAUGAGGU